GGGGGUUUAGCUCAGCGGCAUAAGCACCUGCUUUGUAAGCAGACAGCGUCAGUUCAAUCCCCA
RNAcentral lists this transfer RNA (63 nucleotides) under Cavia porcellus (domestic guinea pig). It matches the Rfam family "tRNA". From Rfam's summary of the family: Transfer RNA (tRNA) molecules are approximately 80 nucleotides in length. Their secondary structure includes four short double-helical elements and three loops (D, anti-codon, and T loops). Lineage: Eukaryota; Metazoa; Chordata; Mammalia; Rodentia; Caviidae. The record is from Rfam by way of RNAcentral.